This 358-nucleotide ribosomal RNA is filed under the name uncultured soil bacterium. Its description in RNAcentral is "bacterial SSU rRNA". It matches the Rfam family "Bacterial small subunit ribosomal RNA", at positions 26 to 409 of the family's 1533-position model. The record is from RNAcentral.
AGAACGAACGCUGGCGGCAUGCCUAAUACAUGCAAGUCGAACGAACACUUCGGUGUUAGUGGCGCACGGGUGCGUAACGCGUGGGAAUCUGCCCUUGGGUUCGGAAUAACAGUUGGAAACGACUGCUAAUACCGGAUGAUAUCGAAAGAUCAAAGAUUUAUCGCCCAGGGAUGAGCCCGACGUAGGAUUAGCUAGUUGGUGAGGUAAAGGCUCACCAAGGCGACGAUCCUUAGCUGGUCUGAGAGGAUGAUCAGCCACACUGGGACUGAGACACGGCCCAGACUCCUACGGGAGGCAGCAGUAGGGAAUAUGGACAAGUCGGGCGCAAGCCUGAUACCAGCAAUGCCGCGUGAGUGAU